Molecule: long non-coding RNA, 1984 nt
Organism: Papaver somniferum (opium poppy)
Lineage: Eukaryota; Viridiplantae; Streptophyta; Magnoliopsida; Ranunculales; Papaveraceae
Exons: 3
Source: RefSeq, a predicted model, not a curated record
AGCGGGAAAAGCCAAAUUUUGGCGCAAAGUUCCCACCAAAAUUUCAUCUUUUCCCUCCACACGAAACCCUAGCCUUGGCAUAAACUGGUUGCUCCACACUCAAACCCUUAUUCCGCCGCUUACCGUCUAUUCUCCAUCUCCAACUCUCUGAAACUUAACCCAAAUGGCCAAAUUUCCUCCUCUCGGAUUUAUCUUGAAAUAUUAGGUCUUAUCUACUGACAUCAUCGGCAUAAGUUGAAAUUAAGAGUCUUGAAUUUUUUGUUUUUUUAUCUCUAAUAUCAACAAUAAUAAAUGUUAAUUCUUGAAUUGAAAUAUUAGAAGGUGUGAUUUUGAUUCUUUCUUUUUCUCAUUCUUUCACUAUUUUACCAGAUAUCAUGAAUAAAAGAAAUGUUUUAAGUUUUGAUGUUUCAAUAUUUCAACUUAAAGUUAGGUCUUUCACAAAUCUGUCAAAAUUAGAGAUUUUAGAGUGGGUUUCCACAUAUCUUCCUCCCAUGCUUUCGACAUAUCUUCGUGCGUUUGUAUACUUUGUUGUUGAUUCAUGUCUCUGUUUCUCUUGCAAAAGCAUCUGGAGUUUCAAGAUCAAUACUAUGAUUAAUUGAAAAGCUUCAAUUACUAACCAAUUUAUAAAGGUAAUAUUUUUCACUCGAUUUUGAUUCAAUAGUAAAGAUCCAGAAAAUAGAAAUUGGGGUUUCUUAGUCAUAGUAUUGAUCAGUGACUCAUUUUUUAAUCCAACCCCUUCGUUCAAUUUUAUGUUUUUCAUCCGCAGAUGCACAACCUUCAAGUAGUCUUGUUGAUUACAAUUUCUGUAAUUGCGGUGUGCUUAGCAAACUAUGGUCAUCUUAUUUACCGUGUUACAUAACAUUCUUAGAAUUCCAGGGGAAGGUGUCCAAACCAAAAGACGAGUCUUGGUCUAGCUGUGCCAAAAACUGAUUGUUGUAGUGGGGUUUUCAUGUAUCUUGGUUUUUUAGUGUGUAGAUUGUUUCUGCAGGGACCGUGGAGAUGGAACUGGAGGUGAAUUAAGAUGCUGGGAUAAAUUACUUACCAGAUGCACUUGGACUAAUCUUUUAGAAACAAUCUCUGCAAGAUAUACUGAUUGUGACUGUGAUUCUGAUUGAGGAUUGUAGUCGCUUGCAAUCACAGGACAAAAUCAAUCUAGUCAUUGAAAUGCUCAUUACAAGAAGCUGUGGUUCCAUCCGUAAGCUGGGCGUUACUAGACUUUCGGGCGAGUGCAUGUUUUGCUUCAUUGCUACUGUGGACACAAAGGACAAUAUUGCAAUCACACUGUGCAAGUUAGGAAGGAUAUUCCCCCAUCUUUUUUUUUUGCCGUGAUGACGCACUUGCGCAUUCUUAAAGCAGAACAAGCAAAGGUUGUUGGUCCAGUGCAGUAUGGUUGGAUGUAUUUUAUUGAGAGGGUAUCCUAAGUUAAUGCUAAAUGGAUCAAAUUGUACAACACUUUUGCAAAUUCUCUCUUGGGGUUCGCUUGCGUCCCAGUCAAAGGUGACGUACUUCCAAUAUUGAUGGUAUGUAUGCUGCUUGGUAACCUUGGAGCAUCCAUUACGGAAGUUAUAAUAGAUGCCUUUGUUGCGGAGUAUGGACAGAAAAAGAACAUUAGAGGCCUGCAGUCUUUGGAAACUUAUUUGGUGGCCACUUCUUAAGCAGAAUACAAUAACCCAAGUUAGAGGAACAAGAAAUUGAACAAACCAAUUACAUUCAUUUUUGCGCGCAUACAGAAUUUACUAGCACUGUUCACCAAAGAUUUGAGUUGUGGAUAGUUGUUUACACUGACGAAUGCUGAUUGAUCAACAAGACAAUGCAGUUGAUCUUCAAGACAAUUCAGUUGAUCUUCAGGCCAAUUCAACGAAACAAAGACAAUUCAGUUGCUCUUUGUUUACAACAAAGAUUUAGUUGUUUUAAUUGGGUAUUAUUCUUUCUUAUCUGUAAAACAAGACAAUUCAACAAAUGCAAACCAAUUGAAAAGCAAAAA